This 81-nucleotide transfer RNA is filed under the name Cryptomeria japonica (Japanese cedar). RNAcentral describes it as "tRNA-Leu". It matches the Rfam family "tRNA". Rfam says of the family: Transfer RNA (tRNA) molecules are approximately 80 nucleotides in length. Their secondary structure includes four short double-helical elements and three loops (D, anti-codon, and T loops). Lineage: Eukaryota; Viridiplantae; Streptophyta; Pinopsida; Cupressales; Cupressaceae. The record is from RNAcentral. RNAcentral also lists the same sequence under 6 other names.
GCCUUGAUGGUGAAAUGGUAGACACGCGACAUUCAAAACGUCGUGCUAAACAGCGUGGAGGUUCGAGUCCUCUUCAAGGCA